Molecule: non-coding RNA, 7149 nt
Organism: Danio rerio (zebrafish)
Lineage: Eukaryota; Metazoa; Chordata; Actinopteri; Cypriniformes; Danionidae
Source: RefSeq, a predicted model, not a curated record
UUGCAGUCUCUUUAACUUGAACUAUAUUUGUUCAAAAGGCUUCUGGAACAUUCUCUUGCUGACUGAUACGCAAGUGCAUCGUCACUUUAAUGGGCGGGACUUAGAGAAGGAAGAGAAGCAGGUGUGCAGAGCAGACAAAGAGCCGAACUGAAAUCGCUACAAAGUCAAAGUUGUCUGCUUAUCUGCUCACGUUGCAUGCAGAUUAACACAACCAAUGAUGUAUAUAGUUGUGCGUGCACAGAAAGUAAGUGUAUUUGGUUUUGUUGAUGUAAAUGUCUCCUUAUUUUAGAUCGCGGGUGAAAUGCGCCAUAGCGCCAUAACGCAAUAGCGUCUAAUGGCCGAAUUUGAAGUUGUAACUUAUAAUAGUUGAUAAUUAAACUUGUUUUCAUAUGCAGUAUGCCUAAUGCAUGUAAUUUUAACACUUUACAUGUACAAAUGUAAUCGUUUUGUCGAGUUAUUUACUACAUAUACAUGUUGAUUAUUAUUUCAUUGGAAAAUGUGCCUCAGCCACGUUUAGUGAUCUAUUGGCGCCCUCUUGCGGACAGUUAGGGAACAACUGCUCUAAAUGUUUCCAUUCAUAUGAUGCGGUUACUGCAAUUUGUAUUCAUGUUUUAUAAUUAUAAGUAUUGUUAUUGAUGUUGUAAUUGUUAAUUAUAUAAUUGCUUAUGUGAGAUUAUUUUUGUAUUGUUUCAGAAAACCACAACUUAUCAUCAGUAAAUGUUCAACUGAGAAAUGGAGUCUGAGUGAAUUUCUUUGAAUAGAUGACAGUAAACAGUUCUGACCGACUGUCUGCAGGGAUUCAGAUACACCCGAAUCAGUGUUAAAUUAAAACACUCAGUUACAAAGUGGUCCUUCGAGCCGGAGGCUGAAUAACUGCAGAUAUGUCAUCCUGUUCACAGCAAGAGCCUCCAGCUGUUCGCCCCAGAAGACAUAUAAAGCCUCCUGCAUAUCUAGCAGACUUCCAAGUACGUAUGACUGGAUCUGAGAGGGGAUGCCAGCAACUUACAUAUUCAAGUGAUGAAGAAGUUAAUGCAGAAUAUGCUCCAUUGUCUACUGAACGUGAGUCUCAUGCCUUCACACCUAUAAGUCAGCGUUCACCAACCAGUGAUCUGGUGCUACAGGAUGAAUGGCAAAGUACACCGAGAGAAGAGGAUGAAAAGUAUCAUCAGUCGCAGCAGUCAGCCUGGGAGGAGAUGCAACGAGAGAAUGAUGAGCUUCGUAGCUGCAUCCGACAAAUGCCAGAGAUUUUAAGUGUAUUAAGGGGUCUUAAAGAGGAGAAUAUUGUAAUGAAACGAGAGAUCCAGCAGCUAGCCUCAAACGUAGCCAUUCAGCAUAAGCCAGUCGCUCGGUUACCAGCUCCUCGCCCUGACGUACCAGAAACAGUUCAUAGCCAGCCUCUGUCCCCCACACAAAGCAGCGAUUUCCCCCAGUACCCCUCUGGGCAGAUUAAGCAGAUAACAGAGCAGAUGAGAGAUUGCACUGUCUCACCUUUACCAGUAGAGCAGCCCCAAGCACUGCCAAGGUAUCGUACCCCUAAUCCAAGACUAGCUCCUCAUCUUCAGCCUCAUCCACAUAGUGAACCCAUCCACUACUAUGAGCCCAGAGAGAAUUAUCCCUCACACUCAGACCAACGACAAUCCUACCAUAUGCAGCGUUCAAGGAUUGUGCCUCCAUCUGCAGUGCCAUACUCUCAAGAGAGAACAUACCGAGGACCUAAGCCUUCUAUUCCGUUCUUAUCAACAUCGGAUCCACGAGAGUUUUCAAGGUUGCGCAUGGCUUUAGAGAAUCUCCUACCCAGUGAUGCAUCUGAACGUUUCCGAUAUCAAAUCCUCACAGAUCAUCUACAGUUAGAGGAGGCAUUGCUGGUAGCGGAUUCAUAUUGCAACUCAACACACCCUUAUACGGACACUAUGCAAGCUCUCAUCAACAUGUAUGGUCAGCCACACAAGCUGGUCCUGCAGAACAUCGCUGAGGUCAUGGAUGGCCCCAAUAUCAGAACUGGAGAUGUUGAAGCUUUCAAGCUGUUUGCGCUUCGAGUGCGUUCUCUGGUGAGCAUGCUAGAACAGCUGGGUCCUGAAGGUAAUGUUGAAUUGGACUGUGGGUCACAUGUUUCAAGACUGCAAAGCAAACUCCCUCAUGAGCUGAGAACUAGCUUCAAGAGAUAUAUACACCCUAUGAGAGUAGCUAUACCAACCCUCAUCGAUUUCUCUAACUGGCUAGAGUAUGAGCUACAAGUUCAGGAUGAUGGCGUCAAAACUUCAGGUUUCACACCAGGCCCCAGCAACAAGAAAAGGCUGGAGUAUCGUAAUCCUAAGGCUGCCAGGAAACCCACAACCAUCCUGCUAGGCACAGAGAAACCCAUGAGUGGGAGAACAAGUCAACCACAAGCCUCAGAGGUGACACCUAAAUCUGCCAGGUUUAAAGGGCGGUUAAGUGCAUAUUGCCCCUACUGUGACAAUACCAAUCACUUCUUGAAUGGGUGUGCUAAUUUCAAAGACCUUACCAAAGAGCAGAAAGAGUCCUGGAUUCGGAAAAACAAUCGAUGUUGGUGUUGCGGACGCAGCCAUCAUGCCUCGAAAUGCACCCUGAAAUCCCCCUGUAAGACUUGCAACAGGAGACACCUAUGCAUAUUGCAUGAUGUUAAUGAAAGGACUGUAGAUUCCACUGAAACAGCUACGAAAGAGAACUCCUGUCUAGUUAACACCACCAAGGAUGUCCUGUAUGUUGAUCGCCCAGUUUAUAGCCGUAAAGUACUUCUGAAGGUGAGCAAAGUCAUCAUUACCAAUGGAGACAAAUCCAUUGAGGCAUAUGCUGUUUUGGACGACGGGUCGGAGAGGACCAUCCUGCUCCAUACCGCAGCACAGGAAUUAAAUCUGAAAGGGCAGCCAGAGGACCUAAUACUGCGGACGGUGAGGCAGGACCAACAGGUUCUUCACGGGGCGGCAGUCUCAUUCACAGUGUCCCCUGUCAGUAACAAACACAAAAAAUUCUCCAUUCAAGGUGCCUUUACAGCAGAAAGACUUGGACUGGCAGAACAAUCUCACCCCGUUGCUUCCCUCCAAAAGAGGUACUGCCAUUUAGCAGGGCUACCCUUGCAGCAAAUAGACAGAGUCCAACCUGUACUGCUCAUUGGCUCAGAUUGUCCACACUUGGUGACCCCAAUUGAGCCUGUUCGUCUAGGCCCUCCAGGUGGACCUGCUGCUGUACGAACUCGACUAGGCUGGACACUACAAGGCCCAACACACGAGAUUAAGCAUGGCCGCAAUACUCACCAAUGCCUCUUCACCGCUAUACCUCAUAAUGCUGAACUGUUUGCCCAAGUAGAAAGGCUAUGGCAGAUGGACGUAAUCCCAUACCGCAAUGAGAAAGUAGUGACCCGGUCAAAACUUGAUCAUGAGGCUAUCCGGCUCCUACAAGAGAAAACUGUAAGAGUUAAUGUGGAUGGAAUUAUGCGAUAUGCAACACCACUGCUGCGUGUACAACAUAUGCCGACUCUGCACAUGCCUAAAGAAGCUGUACUGCCACAGCUCAGAAGCAUUGAACGUAAGCUGAUGAAAACACCUGAUCAGGCAUGUGCUUACAAAGCUGAAAUUGAGAGACUCAAGAAUGCUGGUUAUGUGGAGAAACUACAACCAGGUGAAGCUGAGAAAUCACAAGAAUCAUGGUACAUCCCUCACCAUAUGGUCACCCACAAUGGCAAGAAUCGUGUUGUGUACAAUUGCUCAUUUCAGUAUGAGGGACAAAAUUUGAAUAAGCUGCUACUACCAGGUCCCACUUUGAGCCCCACCUUGCUAGCAGUGUUACUACGUUUCCGAGAACACUCAACAGCUCUGAGUAGCGACAUACGAGGGAUGUUUCAUCAGGUGAGGCUGCUUCCGGGAGACAAAUCCUUGCUUCGGUUCUUGUGGAGAGACAUUGCUGUAGAUCAAGCCCCAGAAGUGUACGAGUGGCAGGUACUUCCCUUUGGGACUACAUGCAGUCCCUGCUGUGCCACAUUUGCUCUCCAAAAACACGUACAAGACCACAGUCAACCCGGAGAUCAGGUGAGGGAAGUGAUCGAAAAGUCAUUCUAUGUUGACAACUGUCUUUACAGUCUCCCCUCCAAAGAUGGAGCCAAAGAUCUUGUUGAUCAGCUCUGUUCCCUAUUGAAUGAAGGAGGCUUUGAACUGCGUCAGUGGGCCAGCAAUUGUCCAACAGUGGUCGCCCACCUUCCCUGUGAUAUAAGAUCGAAUAACUGUGAGCUCUGGCUUAGUCAGGGACUGCAAGAUACCCAAGAAUCUACCCUGGGACUGCUCUGGCGCUGUCAGUCAGACACUUUGCACUACAAGCACAGGGAAGUGAACUGUACUAAAGUAACCAUGCGCAGCAUUUAUUCUAUCCUGGCCAGCCAAUACGAUCCCCUUGGCUAUAUUAUCCCCUACACCACAAGAGCGAAAAUACUAGUGCAGCGUCUAUGGGAUAAAAAGCGUGAUUGGGACGAUCCACAACUGCCUGAAGAUCUGCUCAGUUUAUGGAAUUCAUGGGAGAAGGAGUUGUGUGAGCUAGACAAGAUAACACUGCCAAGAUGCUACUCCAGUCCAGACAUGGAUGUACCAACUAGCAGACGAGAUGUACAUGUAUUCUGUGACGCGUCGGAGAAGGCUUAUGGGUCUGUGGCCUAUUUGAGGACAGAAAGCACAGAAGGACAGGUUGAAGUUGCCUUUCUAGCAGCCAGGUCACGUGUUGCCCCCCGAAAGCAACAGUCUAUACCUCGCCUUGAACUGUGUGCAGCUCUAAGUGGUGCCCAGCUCUCCAAGGUCUUAGUCACAGAGCUCACAUUACCCAUCUGUUCCUUAACCCUCUGGUCAGACUCCACGACUGUACUUACCUGGUUAUUGUCAAGUUCUUGUCGUUACAAGGUGUUUGUGGGAACACGAAUAGCUGAAAUUCAAGAACUCACAGCUUCUGCAAGCUGGCAAUACAUACGAUCAGAGGACAAUCCUGCGGAUAGUAUCACAAGAGGAAAAAAGCUGUGUGACCUAGUCAAAUGUGACCAGUGGAAUCAAGGCCCCUCAUUUCUUAAGCUGCCUGUGGAGACUUGGCCAGAGCAGCCAUCCUUGCUUGCUGAAGAGCAGCAGCACGAACUAAGGCCAGCUGUGUUUUGUGGAGCAAUUACAGUCACACCCUUGCCAAAUCCACAGCAGUAUGAGACAAUGACUGAGUUCAUAAAAGCGUGUAAUCAGCAGCUAUACGGGGCGGCCAACAUUACAUGUGCUGAUGAACAAAGACAACUGGAACAACUUGUUCUUUGUCAAAUCCAAACUGAAUCCUUCCCUACUGAGAUGGCCCAACUAAAGUCCGGGAAACCAGUAUCAGGUACAAGCCGAUUGGCUUCUCUCUCUCCCGAACUUGACCCUACCACUGGUCUCAUUCGGGUAGGUGGCCGUUUAAGACAUCGCACAGAAGCAGAGCUGGACUGUACUCACCCCAUAGUCCUUGACUCCCACCAUCCUGUAACUAAACUCAUUAUUAAGGAUUAUGAUGAGAAGCUACAUCACCCUGGAUCAGAACGAGUGUUCGCAGAGAUGAGGAGAACAUAUUGGGUGCUACGAGGACGUGAAGCAGUUCGGAGACAUCAGCAUCAAUGUGCAGAGUGUCGUAGAUGGAAAGGGAAACCAGAAGUUCCCCUGAUGGCAGACUUGCCACUUGCAAGACAACAGCUCUAUAAACCUGCCUUCUUCUCAACAGGGAUGGAUUGCUUUGGACCUUACCUGAUUAAGAUCGGAAGGAGAAAUGAGAAGAGGUGGGGCAUAAUAUUCAAGUGCCUCACGACCAGGGCAGUGUAUAUAGAUCUGUUGGCCAGUAUAGAUUCUGAUUCAUUCCUAAUGGCCUUAAGACGUUUUAUCGCUCGACGAGGAAAGCCAUACGAGUUACUAAGUGAUCAAGGCACUAACUUCAAAGGUGGAGAACGAGAGUUGAAGGAAUCUCUUGGCGCCUUGCACAGUGAGCUCCAAAGUCAUCUUGCCUCCCAACAAAUUAAGUUUGUCUUCAAUCCACCGGGAGCACCCCACUUCGGGGGAUGCUGGGAGAGAGAAAUACGUUCAAUUAAAGCUGCUCUCCAAGUUACACUAGGGGCACAGACUGUGACGGAGGAAGUUUUAAGGACAGUCUUAACUGAGAUUGAAGGGAUACUUAACUCAAAACCGCUCAGCUACACAUCAUCAGACAUUUCUGAUGUAGAUCCAAUCACUCCCAACUGCUUCCUCAUUGGCCGCAGAGAUGCCUCACUGCCCCAGGUGGUGUAUCAGGACUCAGGAGUGAUAAGCCGACGCCGUUGGAGACACAGCCAGCUGUUAGCAGACCACUUCUGGAGGCAUUUUAUUAAGUACUACCUGCCCAAUCUCCAAGUUCGGCAGAAAUGGAAAGCAGAAAAGGAAAACCUGCAGGUUGGCGAAGUAGUGAUGAUUGUCGAUCCUCAGCUCCCUCGAGCUCUAUGGCCAGUGGGGAAAAUCGAGCAAGUACAUCCAGGAGCUGAUGACAGAGUAAGAUCAGCCACUGUACAAGUUGGAAGGAAAACAUAUACCCGACCAGUAGCACGUUUAGUUAAGCUGCCAACCCUUGUUAAAGAUUGAUCCACUUUAAGGAAAGAACCUUUUGUAAAUGUGCGAAUUCAAUUAUUGAAUUCGGGGGCGGCUGUUCAAAAGGCUUCUGGAACAUUCUCUUGCUGACUGAUACGCAAGUGCAUCGUCACUUUAAUGGGCGGGACUUAGAGAAGGAAGAGAAGCAGGUGUGCAGAGCAGACAAAGAGCCGAACUGAAAUCGCUACAAAGUCAAAGUUGUCUGCUUAUCUGCUCACGUUGCAUGCAGAUUAACACAACCAAUGAUGUAUAUAGUUGUGCGUGCACAGAAAAAAACCACAACUUAUCAUCAGUAAAUGUUCAACUGAGAAAUGGAGUCUGAGUGAAUUUCUUUGAAUAGAUGACAGUAAACAGUUCUGACCGACUGUCUGCAGGGAUUCAGAUACACCCGAAUCAGUGUUAAAUUAAAACACUCAGUUACAAUAUUUGAGGCCAGGAUGAUUUUAGAAAUCUUCAUGCAGUUGCUCUGGCUCAGUUUUUUUGCUUUUUCCUUCGGAAAGUGCGAUGGCCGCGUCUGAUUACUGACCUCAUG